RNA transcript from Pan troglodytes (chimpanzee), 6803 nucleotides. It is a transcript of the gene named nuclear assembly factor 1 ribonucleoprotein, with no coding region annotated. The transcript is spliced from 10 exons. NCBI's taxonomy places the organism in Eukaryota, Metazoa, Chordata, Mammalia, Primates, Hominidae. The record is from RefSeq and is marked provisional.
CAAAGCAGGGAGUCUGAAUUUUAUUCUAAGUGUGCUUACAAAUAUUUAGAGUUUAUAAAUAAUUAAGCAGGAAAUUACAGUGAUCUUAUUUAUUAUCCCCUGUGAAGGUCUCCUAUUUUCUCAGAUUAACAAAUUCAUGGUUCUCUUUAAAAGUCCGGCUCAAGUAUCACACGCAUUGUAAAGCCUUUUGUCAUUGUCAGUGAGGCAGUGGUUGCGUGGUCCUGUUUAACCAGCUUUCCUAGAGGUGACUUCUCCCAUUCAGUUCUAUUCAAGUCAAAGAUGAGUCUUAGAGACUGUCUCAUGCUUUAGUAGUUUAUUCUGGCAUCGCUCUUAAAAGAUAGUGGGAAGAGGCUGGGGGUAUAGACCAGAUAGUCAGGGCUCGGAUGAUCAAGAGAGUCUCCAACCAGAGACUGUUCUCAGUGUUGGGGGUUUCUUCCCCCUUUUUAAAACCUGUAUUCAGCUUGGUCAGUUAUCAGAUGUUUCUCUCAUAAAUGGAGUCGAAGCUAUUCUUACAAGGGUAAGCUUUAAGGUUCAUGAAAGUUGCAUCUGUGCUGAAGUGGCCUGGUCUCCUGGAAAUCACUGGGCCAGGGGUGGAAAUCUCCAGGGCCAGUUAGUAUUAUAUUGAUAAAUACAUUUAGUAUCAGCCCCUCAAGACACUUGAGUGAGCCUUAUGGCUAUAAUUAAUCUUAUAGCCACGAUAUAUCUCUUAUAGUACAUUUUCCUUAAUUUUCCAAGUAUCUUCUCUGUCUUUAGUUUUCCCAUUUCAUACAUUCUUGCAUUUACAUGGUACAUUUCUCUACAAUAGUACCUUCUGCUUGUUUUCAACUUGUCUGUUCUACUGAACUGUUAACUCCAUAAGGGUAGGGACUGUGUUUAUCUUCCUGUAUGCAUAGUUUAUAAUGCAGUGCACAGCAUAUCGUAAUGUUAAGAAAAUGAUUACUGAAUGAACAAAUGAGUAUUUCAAUUAUCCCAUAACUUAUGCUUCUGGUCUUAACCUUUCUGUCAAAUUCCAGUUUCUUAUUUUUAAAUGCCUAUUUACAUUUUUAAUUGUCUAGUUUUUCUUCAGACUCAACUUCACAUACCCACAUCUCUUUCCAACUUCUCCAUUUAAUUAAUUAAUUAAUUAAUUAAUUUGAGAGGGAGUUUCCCUCUUGUUGCCUAGGCUGGAGUGCAAUGGUGCAAUCUUGGCUCACUGCAGCCUUUGCCUCCUGAGUUCAAGCGAUUCUCCUGCCUCAGCCUCCCAAGUAGCUGGGAUUACAGGUGCCCACCACCAUGCCCAGCUAAGUUUUUGUAUUUUUAGAAGAGAUGGGUUUUUGUCAUGUUGGCCAGGCUGGUCUCAAACUCCCGGCCCCAGGUGAUCUGCCUACCUCAGCCUCCCAAAGUGCUGGAAUUACAGGCGUGAGGCCCUGCGACUGGCCAACUUCUCCGUUUUUAUUGGUAAUACCAACUUCUUUCUAAUUUCCUUGACCAGAAAUUUUAGAGUACUUUUAUUCUUCCCCUGAUGCUGGGGAUUUCCUUUACUCUAUUUCAUUGACUGUAAGCCUAGUUCAGACUUUUAUCACCUAAUUCCUGGAAAAAUGCAACAAAGUGGCUGGCUGGGGAAUAAUUCUGGCUCAAAUGUCUUCCCUUCUCAAAUCUGUACUGCAUGUCUUUGCAAGAUCAUUGUUAAUUAAAUAUUUUAUUCGUGAGUUCAUGCAUUGUUCCAUUUUCCAAGUAUUUUUGCACACUGAAUGUAUGACAUGCCACUCCCUUAUAUAAAGCCUUACUUAGUGUUCACAUGAACUAAAUGAGAUAGUAUUUUUAUCUCCAUUUUACAGAUAAGGAAAUUAGGAUUUAGAUUAACUGCCCAAAGUCAGUAACACCAAACACAAAAUGGUAGAGCUGAGGCCUGAACACAGGUCUUUUUAGUUGAAAACUCUGAGCUCUGCUUAAUCAUUGUGCUAGUAAGUUCGUAUCCCAAGUUUAAAGUCCUUCUUCACUUUGGAGGAUUUCCAUGAAAUAGCCUACCAAUCCUACUUCCCAUUUCUGCUGCACUUGGAUUUUCUAUUUCAUAUUUCAAAUAUUUUUCUAGUUAUCUCCUGUGCAUUGCCCUUCUCUACUUCAAGUAGAUUGUAAGCUUCUUAAAACCUUACUCUUAUUACACUUGCCUUGCAUUUCUAUGAAGAUCUACUGUUGUAGAUGACACACUAAAUUCUCAGUGAAUAAUUUAUAAAAUCUUUAGCACAGUCCUUGGCACAUAUGCAUGUUUAACAAAUGGUAUCAAUGAUUAUUAUUACUACACAGGGACUGAUGCAUCAAAUUGAAGACCUAACAGGAAACCAGAAAAUUCUGAUCUCUUCCUAAGAACUCUGCUUGCUUUCUCCACAAUUUAGACUAGUGGUUUCCAACAAUAAGUGAGUACAUUUCAGUCUCAUAGUCUCAUCUCUCUACUACGAAACAGUGCUAAGUAUGAUAUAGACAUCACCAUAACAUGAACAACACAGCAAAAUUUUGUCCAUUACUGCUCUCUUUGAGGGUACUUUGGAGAAAGGAAAAUGGAAUAGUUGUAGUUACAUUUUUGAAAAAAUGGUUAAUACCCUAUCUAUCGACAGAUGGAUCUAUUGAUGGAUAAACUUCAUUUAACUUUCAUGAAGUUACUAGCGUCUUGUCAAGACUUCCUGGCUCAAGUUUCUGAUGUACAGAACUUAGCAUUCUUCAGGCACCCCCCUGUUGUAUAAUCCCUGCUUCAUUUUGGCGCUUCAAGCAGAACUGGUUCACAUGCAGCAAUAGGAAAAUCCGACAUUCAGGCCUUGAAUGGUUCACAUGACGCAGUGAAAACGGUCGAUUUAGGACCUCCCUAGUCCUGAUUAUUUUUUUUUUGAGACGGAGUCUCGCUUUCUCACCAGGCUGGAGUGCAGUGGCGCGGUCUUGGCUCACUGCAACUUCCGCCUGCUGGGUUCAAGCGAUUCUCCUGCCUCAGCCUCCCAAGUAGUGGGGAUUACAGGCACGCGCCACCAUGCCCAGCUAAUUUUUGUAUUUUUAGUAGAGAUGGGGUUUCACCAUGUUGGGCAGGCUGGUCUGUGAACUCCUGACCUUGUGAUCCGCCCACCUCGGUCUCCCAAAGUGCUGGGAUUACGAGCGUGAGCCACGGCGCCCGACCCCCUCCCUAAUCCUGAUUUUCGAAGAUAUGACGCACGUAUCCUGCCCCCGCGAGCGCCGAAGCGCUGUCGCGCCACAUACGUCACACGCUCUUCGGAAAGCGUUGCUGCGUAAAUGGCGGGGGCGUGUCUUUUGGCUCCUCCGCGUGUAGUUACCUGAGAAACGCGGGAAGUUGGGCCCAGGCUCUGUUGCUGCGGUUGCCUAAGUUGUUUUACUAUUUCUGGAGAGAGCCGUGAGCUUGUCCAGGGGCCCCAAUCCUGAGGCCCACCCGGUUUCUGGCGCGGUGCGAUGGAGGUAGUGGAGGCCGCCGCCGCUCAGCUGGAAACUCUGAAAUUCAAUGGCACCGACUUUGGAGUUGGGGAAGGUCCGGCGGCUCCGUCUCCGGGCUCUGCCCCUGCGCCAGGGACACAGCCGCCGCUACAGUCGUUUGAGGGGUCCCCGGACGCUGGGCAGACCGUGGAGGUUAAGCCUGCCGGGGAGCAGCCUCUGCAGCCCGUUCUGAACGCCGUCGCGGCCGGGACCCCAGCGCCGCAGCCACAGCCGCCGGCUGAAUCGCCGGCCUGCGGAGACUGCGUCACCUCUCCAGGAGCCGCAGAGCCUGCGCGGGCGCCGGACUCCUUGGAGACCUCGGACUCGGAUUCGGACUCGGACAGUGAAACAGAUUCAGAUAGUUCAAGUUCAUCGUCUUCCUCUUCAUCUUCCUCAUCGUCGUCUUCUUCCUCUUGUAUAUCACUUCCUCCAGUGCUGUCAGAUGGAGAUGAUGAUUUACAAGUUGAGAAGGAAAAUAAGAAUUUUCCUCUUAAAACAAAAGAUGAAUUACUUCUUAAUGAACUGCCUUCUGUUGAAGAACUCACUAUUAUUCUGCCUGAAGAUAUUGAGUUAAAGCCUCUUGGGAUGGUUUCAAGUAUUAUUGAACAACUAGUAAUAAUUGAAUCUAUGACUAACCUACCUCCAGUUAAUGAGGAGACUGUAAUUUUUAAAAGUGAUCGACAAGCAGCAGGAAAGAUAUUCGAGAUAUUUGGACCUGUUGCACAUCCAUUUUAUGUGUUACGGUUUAAUUCUUCAGAUCACAUUGAGAGUAAAGGUAUUAAAAUAAAGGAGACUAUGUAUUUUGCUCCAUCAAUGAAAGAUUUCACUCAAUAUAUAUUCACAGAAAAACUUAAACAGGAUAAGGGAUCAGAUGCAUCAUGGAAGAAUGAUCAGGAACCACCACCAGAGGCCUUAGAUUUUAGUGAUGAUGAAAAAGAGAAGGAAGCCAAACAGAGGAAAAAAUCUCAGAUUCAAGGCCGGAAAAAACUCAAAUCUGAAUUUAAUGAGCCUGGUGAAGAUUUUACUGAAGUACAUCAGAAUUGGAAUGCUCAUAGCUCUGCUUCAGAGCAUGCAAAAGGAUAUCGUAACAGAGAAUUCACACGAGGAUUUUCCAGGGCCAGAUACCCUCGAUCUUGCCAUGCCAGGCCUCCACCUCAGCAUUUCUAUAACUCAGAACAUAUGGUAUCUCAGGAGACUUCAGGAUUUCCUUCUCAGAGACAAGAUAAUCCCAUUAUGCCACAAUACCCCUUUCCUCUUCCAAUGUUUGACAUGCAUAAUUUUCCACUCCGCCCUCCACCCCCACCACCACCCCCACCUGUAAACAUGGGUUGGGCUACACCAAACAUGGCUGCUCAUCCAUUACUUAACUUACCAUACUCCCUACCCCCACCCCCUCCCCCUCCACCGCUGCCUCCUCCACCCUCUUCUGGAGAUAGUAAUUCUCAUUUUGGACCUUACUAUUAGGUGACUAUGCAUUUCCAGAGAAAUGUGGACUUUUCAUAUUAUGUGGUACAGGUAUAUCUCACAGAUAUUGUGGCCUCGGAUCCAGACCAUUGCAGUCAAAACACACUGGGAAGUGCUGUCAUAGAAGAUAGCUGGAAGACAUUCAUGGCAGUGCACAUUUCUUGGAGAUGUGUUUAGUCUUGCUAAGAAGACAAUUAGAAGAUCAUGGGAGCCAGAAGAAAUCUCAAAUCUCUCUCAUUAGGUUAGGAAACUGCUGUUCAUUAGUGUGGGCUCUGGUUCCUGGUAUUCCAGAACUCACUGAAAGUCUGUAAGAUGUACAUUUUUCUCAGGGGGAGAUUCCGUGGCUUUCAUCUUGUUUUCAAAGUAGUAUCUGAAGACAGAAAAAGAGGCUGGAGACAAAGAGUCCGUCAUUUAGGAUAUAAAUAGGAAAUCAUUCUUACAUUAAAAGAAGGGGCACUAUAUUCAGCUUAACAAAUUUAAUGGUCUGUCCCUAUUUUAUGAAGCUGAUUCCAGGCAUAUUGUGAUAAACAGUGAAAUCUGAGCAAGUCCACACAAAUUCUAAGGACAUUCUACAAAUAGUUAAAAAAUGCCCAUACGCAACAAUGACAGAAAAGGAUAAGAUACAAAUGGAAUGUAGAAAAUCAUUCAGAGAGGUUUCUGGAAGGAGAGAAAUGAAGACCAGAAUGAGACCAUUCUCAUAGGCCUAAUAGGCUAAGGUGUCUCUCCAUUUACUUAGAGGACCUGAAAGUUUAUAUAUAAGUCUUAUAGUUGCAUAAUUUGUUUUUGUUAUAGAAAAGCAAAAUAUAUAAAUUGCCCUUAUAAAAAAGUAGAUUCAAUCAUGCUAGUUAAUAUUUUGUUAGUUCUCGUAGAGUUCUAGUCAAAGGACCCAUCGAGGUACUUUUUCACAUAGCUGGCUGGACUGGAUAGAUAUGUCAUGACAGUUCCUAAUGUGGGCAAGUAGCAAUGACCGUUACAAAUGCUCAUAUAAAAUAAGUUUUAUUUCUUUUUUUUUUCUUUUUUUGAGACAGCAUCUCUCUCUGUCGCCCAGCCUGGAGUGCAAUGGUGCGAUAUUGGCUCACUGCAGCCUCUACCUCCCGGGUUUAAGUGAUUCUUGUGCCUCAUCCUCCCAAGUAGCUGGGACUACAGGCAUGUGCUAAUGUACGCCCGGCUAAUUUUUGUGUUUUUAGUAGAGACGGGGUUUCGCCAUGUUGGCCAGGCUGGUCUCAAACUCCUGACCUUGGGUCAUCCACCUGCCUUGGCAUCCCAAAGUGCUGGGAUUACAGGCGUGAGCCACCGUGCCUGGCCAAAAAUAGGUUUUAUUUCUGUCUGUGAAUGUAACAUGAGAUAUGAGAAUAGACUUCAGUUCUCAUACAGUGCUCUACUUGUCAUAAUACUCAUGACAUUUUAUUGUAAUUGAUUGCUUAAAUCAUCUUUUCUGUUUAAGUAUUGUCUGAGGGCCAGCACUGUUUUAUUACACCUGUCCCUACUCUAGUACAGAGAAGCUACUUGAGAGACAGUAACUGAAACCUUGUUUCUAGAUACCGCUUUCUGAUUCAUCACCCCUGGGAUUCUCCUUUGUGUUUCUAGAGUAUAGUGGUUUAUAUGUGUGGAUUCAAGAUUAUUGUGACAAGCAUUAGUGAGGAUUCUUUUUUUUUAAUGACUUGAAAGUAUUUCACAAGGUAUCAUAACCUAUUUUAGCACAGAUUUCCAGGUCAGUUGUUCAUCAAAAAUGGCUCCGAAAGAUAAAUGGAACAUGAAUUCUCUUUUUCUUGGAACUGGUUUUGAGAGGACCCUAUCACCUCUAAUUUGGAAAUCAUAGCAUUUUAGAAAAAUUAUUAUUUUUCCCCUAGGAUAAUAAAAUUUGCUUAAAAAAUUCAACCUCAGAUGACACC